UAGUUCGUGGAGUGAUCUGUCUGCUUAAUUGCGUUUCAAAAUUUAACUUGAGGACCGGGUUUUGGUUUGGCUAGUGGUUCUACGAUGACUGUGAACUGUCAUGUCUUCGGAUGUGCGACUAUUGGUCUAGGAUCACAUGACUUGCCCCUGGGACUCUUUUGAACGCAACGGACGUGAUUGCAACCCCUUGUUGAGAUUAGAGAUAGUCUCGAUAUUCACUGGACAAACUGGCUGCUUUAUGCAGUCUUGUUGAAUGGUGGAUAAACUCGGGGGACUGCUGACUAUAACCAUUUCUCAAAACAGAGGAAGGUUGCGGCAAUAACAGGUCUGUGAUGCCCUCAGAUGUCCCGGGCUGCACACGUGCUACAAUGAGUGGCGCAAUGUGCUAAUGUUUAAGGGAUAAGAGUGUGGUCAGUAGAACGUCGGGAUUUCCCCUGACGUCUCCCCCGCACGAUUAUCAGCCUUCCCUUAACAGGGCGGGCAACCUUUUCAAAAUACUGGUUUGAUGUUAAAGUAUUGAGUCGUUUUUUUUGGAUGGUGGUUUGUUAACCAAUACCAUCCGGCAACUGCUCGCGAGUUUGUGGUUCUGGCGACUCAUGGUG
This 602-nucleotide ribosomal RNA is filed under the name Globigerinoides ruber albus. RNAcentral's name for it is "partial small subunit ribosomal RNA". The stretch from base 1 to 537 matches the Rfam family "Eukaryotic small subunit ribosomal RNA", at positions 1295 to 1605 of the family's 1831-position model. The record is from RNAcentral. Lineage: Eukaryota; Foraminifera; Rotaliida; Globigerinidae.